UGUAUAGACCCGACCCUGUGAGCUGCAGGGCCAGCCUUGCAGCCCCCCAGCAGCAAGCACAGCCUGGCCGCGGGAUGAAGCAAUGAGCAGCCCACUCAGCGGCUUCAAUCAACUGACGUUUCUUCUAAGUGGUUUUAAAUAUCUGGAAAAUAUGAGCAACUGUAAGCUAAAACAGAGCACUGUUCCUAAUAUUGUGUUCUCUUGGCAGGAGGGAUGUCCAGAUUUCAGGGACGGAUCCUGGAAGAACAUUCAGGCGGCAAUGACCUCUGACAUUUGGAAGGCCAAAUAACAGUGGAAUAAGUGGCUUAGACAGAGUUAAGCAAGAGAGAAUAUUCCACCCCACACUGGCACGGUGCUUUGCUUCGCUCCAUUUCACAUCUCUGCUUCUCCAUGAAGUCGUGUCCGUAAAUCCAGAAAGCUUCCAUCAGAAAUGCUCAGUAUUGCAUGUUUAGUGUAACACUUACACCCUGUCAAGACUUCCAAAGCGCAACAAAUUAAUCUGGAAAUUCGAAUCGCUCUCGAUAGCACUGUUGCAGGGAUAUAACAGGAGCUCUGCAGGGAGAAGGUGGGAUGAAGACACUGAAAAGGGAUUGUUGCCCAGAAGGAUUGAUUGCCAUGGAGGAAAACCAGAAAAAGGAUAAAAAGCAUCAACAAAAUGUGUAGCAAAGAAGGUGGAAAGAGGAAACAAAUGGUGAAGUGAUACCAUGAUGCUCUACUGGCUCAAAAGCAAGGAAAAAUUAUGAAAGCGUUAAUUUAUUCAUUUUCAGCCGAAUGAAAACAAAACAAACAAAACAAAACAAAACAAAAAACUAGUAUAUAAAAAGAGACAGAAAAUAGAGCAGAAAUUAGAACAUGUGAAGAAAAUGGGCAGCAAAGGAAGAGGAAAUGAAGAGUGGUGAAACAAGUGUUGGAAGUAAAGGAGUGGGGGUGAAGAAGCAACACAAAGAGAUCUGAUGCACAGGGCUUUUAGUCCACUCUAAAAUGGAUCUUAGACUAUCUCAAGCUGUGCACUGCAGUGAGUAGUUUUGAACUGAGAGGUAAGUUGAAGUGGUAAGGACAAAUGAAGACUGAUAUUUAAUGUAGUUUUUGUGUACUUAUAUUUUGCUGUCAUGUAUUUUCCUUUAAAACUGAUUUGUAAUUUUAUGGGUUUUGUGACAUUAGGAUAAGAUGUGAUGUGAGUAUAGUUUCCAUUUAGCAAAUACAUUGAUGUAUUUUUGAGUAGGAGUGGUUGACUGUGGGAAUUCUGACCUUCAGGUUUCAUGUUUAGCAACAACAACAUGCAAGUUUAGAUCUGCACUCUUGAAUGCUCCUUUCUUUGGACUUACAGAGCAAAUGUUUUAAAGCAAGCCACUCAACCUUAUUUCAGAUCCUUCUGUGAGAGGCCCACAAGAUGUGAAUAUCCUCACGUCUCCAUUGUCUUGGGAAUACAGAGCAGACCUCAGCUAAGAAAAUUGGGACUUGCCACGGAGCUGGGUUUGCCACUUUGGGACAUAUCCUUCCACCCAUGUUGUGCAGCAGGGCAAAGCAAAGAGCCCUUUUCUCUCCCCUGUAAAGACAAAUUGCAGCACUCAUGGUGGCUGGAGCACAGAGGAGGUUUCCUAAUUGCUCCUCACAGGAUGGAAGUCACCCAGCCCCGUGUGGGUGGACAGGGUGAUGGGACCUGCUGCAGAGCACACACAGAAAGCGUUCCCUGAAGGGCGGUGCUGCUGAAUCCUGGCCUGAAGGCAGUCCUGCUGCUGACAUGUGGCGCUGCCUGUGAGGUUAGGUAAGAGGUGUAGAACUGUAUGAAGGUGGGAUUCUGCAUUGUUUUUACACCAGGAAGCACAAAACAUGUAGUGUUGACCUCCAUUUCAUCAGUAUUUGUAAGAAAGAGAAUUCUUAAGAAAUAAUGUUGCUUUCUUGCUUCUGAACUGAACAGUAAGUCAUACAGAAUAAAAAUUUUAAAUAAUAGCUAUUAGAUUAGGAAGAAUAAGAAGCUUUUACUACGUGGACGCUUUGACUAUUAAAGAAUUGAUAAAUUGCCACUGAAAUACAAGCAGCUCUGCAAUAUGAUAGAUCAAAGUUCAUUUUUUCCCUAACGCAGAGUUAAGAUGAGCAGGCUUUCUUUUUGCCCAUCUUCUUUGCAGAUCAAAAACAUUCCUUUCUUUUUAUUUGAGUGAUCAAUUUACUAGAAGAGUCCAAUAUAUAUGUUGUGACUGUACUAAAAUUCUUAUUCACAAGCCUUUAAGAAGUAAUAUAGCAUGUUGGUUGGCAUUAUGCAAACCUCAGUACAUCUCAGAACCACUGUUCAAAGUAUAUAGCAUGUCCCUUCCACAUGAUACAAAGAUAAUUAAUUAUAUUUCAUAAAGUGAUAUCUCUUAAAGCAUUCUGACCACAUUAUUUUUUAAAAAAAGCUCUUUUAAAUAGUGCUUCUGCACUGAGGUAGCACAAAGACUUCAGAAUAUUGUGUUUUAGUGGACUGUAAUCCAUAGAAAUGGAUUAGAAUGACUAAAAUGUAAAUCUUGGAAAGCUGCUUUAAACUUACAGCUUUUUAGAAAUGUAUUAAUUGCAUCUCAGUUUAGGCAAAAGAGGUUUGUUUUUUAUUUUUGUAUAGACAUUUUUGUGCAUUAAAUGUCUGUUAUUAUUUUAUUAGCAAGUCUCAGUCCACUCUGUGAUAAAUCAUAUCUUCUCAAGUAUGCAAUGAAUAUGCAAUGUUAAACACUUUUAAGCGCAGGAAUUAUGAUGACAUCCUUCAGAAAGUAUCCUAAAUGUGUGAUUUCCAGCCCACUAACCCACAAAUAAGUUGUGUACAGGCUCCCGUUGAGAACAAGCUCCUGUGGAUCAUCGGGUAAACACUGUCUAGCAGUAGAGCUGGGGGAGAGUGAGCCAUUUCCAUUUUAAAACCAGUUCUGUAAAGAAAAUCUUUAUGUGGGUGUCUGCACAUAAAGUGCUGCUGAUCCUAGGUCAGACGCUGUGUGUGCAGACUGUCAUCGCAGCCUUUGUUCAAAGAGGAGGAAAAUCCCACAGGUGGCCCUGUGAAAGGCUCAGCCUUGCACAGUGCUCUGCAAUCUGAUCCAGCUGAACACUUAAGUGUGCACUUAGUGUUAGCUUAAAGGACAAUGUCUGCUUUGCUAAAUGAUCCAGGAUCAAAUGCGUGUAUUCCUGAAGGAGGUAUAUAAUGUGUGAAAAUAAAUUGUAUGGAAAAGCAUGUACAGGUAGCUAGAUUGGUAAUUAGGGAAGCCAAUGAUUUCAGUUCAAGGAACACUUUCAUUUACAGUAUUUUGUUUCACAUUAAUCCUUCAGCAGUCUACCACAGUUUAUAUCUGGCCAUGAAAUUUUCAUCUGUGUAGUGUCUUUCUUUGAAACUUAGAGAUUUACAGUCUCUCAGCCUGAUUUAUCUCGACGCUGAUGACAAAAAUCCCAGUUUUGCUUUUGAAGGGUAUGAUUGACUAGUUAACAUUUAUUUCAGCCUUGGAGAAGGACAUCUUGCUUAUUUUAUAGAUAAAGUACGCCAAAAUAAGAUGAAGAGACUUUAUCAACAUUGCUCAGUAAGUUAAUGGCACAAAGUCAUAGAACUAAGGAUUCCUUGCCCUCUCUCCACUGCUUUAUGCUCUUUUGAUAACGUGUUUGUAUUUCCAUAGCAAUAUUAUUCUGGCACAUGGUAAUGCAAUAGUUUUGAAAUAUGCUUUUCAUGUGAUGUGCGAAAACAUAAAAUCUAUAGAUAUGCAGCAUACAUGGGUAGAAGAAUUCAUAUUACAAUAUGUAGCUACAAGCAUAAUAAAUGGAAAUUGAUGAAAAGGGAAUCUUUCUACUGCUGGGAUUUUAAAGAAUUAGACAAAUGUGCCUAGCUCAAAUAAGGCAGAAUAUUCUGCUUCUUGUCACAGAAAGAGCGAUGAACAUGUAUCAGAAGAGCAAAUCAGCUGCCGCUUGCUAAGUACCCUAUGAUUUUUCUUGACUGCUGCCGUUUGGGCCCUACCAAGUCCAGUACUUAUGGUGCAAAUCAGGGAUGCUAGUUCCUUUUUUGUUUUUCUGCCUUUUGAAAGGAUAGUCUUUCUUAGAAAAGACAGAAACUAUAGCAAUACAGUGCCAUCUCCUCAGAUAAAUUUUUAUUAAUUCAUUUGCUUUGCAAGAGGGAGCUAAAUCAGUAUAAUUGUGGAUUCUUGGUCCUGCGGGCAGAACAGAAUCCCAGAAACAUGACAUUGUAUGCUAUUUUUCUCUUAUUUUUAAAGACAGUCUGCAUAGUACAAUAUUAGGUGAAGCAAAUCUUUGUAAUUCAUAUGUUUAUGCUGGGCAUUUUUAAUUAUUGUUGUUAGUAAUGGUGGCGUUAUUAUACUAAAAGUAAUAUUAGUGUGUGGUAGGAGUCCUUCUGUAAGGCUAUGUACAGAAAGCUCAUUCAAAGAUAGCGUUCUGGAGAUGAUGCUCUAUCUAACCGAAAUCAGCAGGACAUAGGAACUCCGUCCUGUACGAUGAAUAACAAAAGAAAGGGCAGUUUACAUUCUUUGAUACAUUUCUGCUCGAUUAACCCCCAGUGGGAUUUUACCCCUCCAGUCACAUUCUUUUGUCCCUCUAAUCUUCUUUUGUAUUUGUUCACUGACCCCAAGCAUGUAUUUGACUUGUGACCCUAUUUCUGUUAAUAAAAUACAGGCCAUCUGACCAGCAUUCACACCAAUGAACUACAAGGUGACGAUUACCUCAUUGUAAGCGCCAGGAGCUAGCAGCACACAGCAGUGUAGGGCUGGUGGUUGGGUGGGCUGAGGAUAACCAACCAACGCGACUCGAGCAGUUCUGAACCGCAACUUCAAAAGCAAGAAAAAGAUGAUAGGCUCCUUCAAAGUAUUCAGUGCUGUCCGUGGAAGAGCUGUACAUAUCCUCACGUAUUGUUCAGCUGUUAGUUGGUAAUAUUUAAGGGAUUAUGGCAAAACGAAAAACAAUCGUAGCUAUAAUGUGGAAAUUUUCAGCAUCCAUAUGGGUGGUAGCUUAUAAAAUCAAGAUUACUUUGUUUAUGUUUGGGGUUAUCAAUAAUAAUUAUAUGCCUCAUGAAAAGAAACCAAACACAUCAACACUCAUGGAUAAUAAUUUCAGUAUAGUAUUUUGAGGCUAAAAGAACACUGCAAAGCACAGGUGAACUCUUUUUAAGCAAAGUAUUAUUUGUUUUUAAAGCACCAGCAGAAGUGUUGAUUUUUUUUCAAGAAGAAAAUACACAGUAAUGAACUUAUUAAUGAUUUCACCAGAUCUGAAAACCAUGAGGUCUUAUGAAAAAGCCCUGUUAAUUGUGUGUUACAUGAAAAAAUCAUGCCAAAGCCAUUUAUCAGAUAUGUAAUCUGUGGCUCUGUUUUGUGACAGGAAGCCAUUAUUUCCACUGAAAAAACAAAUCCGUUAAAUUUGAACUAUUAGAUUACAGCAGGGUUAAGGCUGCUUCUGUGCUGUAGAGUCACAUCAGGGUCACGGCUCGGUUCUGGAGAUGUACUGCAAGAGCCUCAUAUCUGAUUAAGACAAAAAACUGAUAAAAAUGUAAUGCAGACUAACAAUAUGGAAUUAUCUGAUGCAGUUUGGGGGGAUAGGGGCAGGGGGUAUAACAUCAUUCAGUUUAUUUGCAUAUGUUUGUUCUUUCUACUGAAAUCAAUCUCUUUGAAGGAAGCAAGAAAACUUUAGAAAAAGAAAAUAUUAUUAAUGCUGGUAAGAGAACACAGAAGAAAAUCUUUAGUAAACAUUUCUUUUCCAGUGUUGAUUAUCAUUCUGUCUAAUGUUUAUUUUCAUAAUUUCUUUGAUCCAAGCACUAAUAACAAUAAAGUUGACUCUGUUUCUUUGAACUAGCACAACUAUGCUAUGGCCAAAUUUGGAGGAAAUUUUUAAGUGGCUUUUGUUUUACUCCCAAGCCACACAACAGAUUUAUAGGGUAAAUAUUUGCAUAGCUCACACCCUCAUCUGUUUAGGAAUGCUUCUAUGGCUAACAGUAAUUUACCUGUUGUGGGCCUCUGUCAGGCUAUGGGCUGUAAAUGUCCAGGCAUAUACUAAGCAGCAGUCAAGAGAGCCCUUGGCUCAAGGCUUUGAGUCGUGGAAGUUGCUGAGGUUCAUAGGGACAGCCCACCCUCUCUGCAGCAGGGCAACAGGCAGAGGCAGGGCACGGAUUGCAGAGGACCAGGGCUGUGCUGCUUGGGGUCUCCGCAUGAGGGGACGGGAAAAGUCUUUGCUGAGCUUGGGUCAGAUUUCUCCCCAGUCUUCUUCCAUCAGAAAUUUGGAAAAUUUGUAUGUACUAUAGACUUAGAGAGAAUUACAUUCCUAAUGUAAGUGUAUUGUAAAAUUUGUACUGUUCUAUUUACCAGCCUCACUCUGUCAGUUACCGAAGGAAGCAUAUUCUGGAUUAGCUCCCUGUUUGGUGAUUUUCUUUUUUCUUAGUUUCUGGAGGACUAGAUAUUAAAGCAUGGUACAUUCUCGUGUUCUCUAAGAGUUGCUAUUUUUCUGUUUGUCCCAAUGCUUAGCCAAGCUGAACAAGAGGGUCUGAUCUAAAGAUUGAUUACCUCUGUGAACAGGUCCAAGUUUCAUUCUUAAAUCAGCCAGCAUGUGGUUGAUGACAGGGACAAAGCCAACCCUCAUCCCUCCCUAAGCAAAUCAUCUUACCCUUUACUGUAGUUUGACCAGAUUAUAAUUUCACCAUUAAAAUAAAUGUCAAAAUCUCCCCUGGCUUCAGCUGGAUUUGGGUUUGGCCAUCAGUUUCUAAGUGCAGAUGGCCUGCUGCAGGGCUUGUUUUUAAAUCCAGAGGUGUGCAAGUGCUUCAACAGCUUAUAAAAAUAUAAAUGAAUACAAAUAACAUGUGUUCUGGUGUUGCUAAAAAGAAUCAUUAGAAUAUGGGUGUGUUUAAGGAUAGAUCAGGACUAGUCCCUGUGACUGCAGGUAGCUGGCACUUGUGCAAGGCUGAAUACUUAAGUUAUGAACUGUAUAGACGAUUUGGGCUCUAUCUUUUCUCCUUUUUAAUCUCUUUCUCUCUCUCUGUCUUUUUUUAAUAUUUAUUUAUUUAUUUAUUAUUUUGUACAUAUUAAAAAUGGGAAAUAGAAAAAAAAAAAAGUUGUUGUUAACUUCUGCCUUUUGCCCUGGACAAAAUACUGUGUUUCUGUUCCUAGAGGAUGGAGUCUCCAUUAAGUACUUAAGGGCUCCUGUGUAAAUGUGCAAAAGUGCUUCCCUUAACAGAAAAUCAUCACAGCUGCACAUACAAACAAAAAGGAAAGGUUGCUCAGUUUCUUUGUUGUUUUGUUGUUUGUUUUUUUUCUUUUCAACUUAGGAAAACAGAAAUAUCAGAACUGAUCUGUACAGUUCACUUUCACAUAAGUAUACCGAAGAAUAUGGGACUGGAAAAAACCACACUGCUUCAGGCUGCUCCCUAGAUUGCUGGCAACUGUACUGUGGCAUAGGUACAAAAUGCAGAAUGGGCCCAGCUCCUCUGUAGAUGUCCCUAUAAACAAAAGUAGGAAACAGGGAGUUACAGAAUGCCCAUUUCUCGGUGGGUGAGAAUUCCAAAACUUAGGGUCUUUAAAUUCUUACACAGUCAACAUGAAAUUACGAUAAGGAUUUCAUAAUUUCGUCAGCAGGCUUUGAAAGAUAGCUGUGUGGGGAGGGAGGAGAGGACUAUUUGAAUGCAAGUGAGCAAAUCUAUUUUGCAUUGUUCAACCCAAUGUUGUUGUUCACUUUACUUUUUUACCUUUUAAAAACUUAAAAACAAACAAGAAAACAAUAUAGCAGUGCUAACUUGCUGGAAAAAGCUCUCACUAUGUAUUUUCACCAUAAAAACCAGGACUUGAGCAUACAUAAGCAGAGUCCCUUGGAUUCUCUAACCCCUGAGACUACCUGGCUUUCAGUAUAAUUCAGAGCUAAGCACAGAAUUGUGUGCAGCUUUCUUCUCUCCUCCCUUUUUGAGUAAACAUUUCUACUCCACAUUUCUGCAGAGGUGUAGACAGAGCAGAACCAUCUGCCUGAGCCUGCAGAAGCCUGAAGCAGCAUUGAGAAGUAUAUUGCUUGAAAAUUAAAUAGUUUUUCUAUGUCAUGCCAAAAACUCAACAGGUUACAGCUUAGAAUAAGUGAGAAUCCACCUAAGAGUAGUGCAUGGCAUGGCAUGGCACAGCGAUGAAUAUGGUGUUGUUUUAGCUAUCUAGAUUGAUUGAUGUAGAUAUUAAAUGACAGAUUUGAGGUUUUUGUGAUUACAUGCUUUAUCGCUGUUGGCCCAAAAGUGGACCUUUAGUGGGUGUAAAGUUUUUGUGAUGCUUGGCAAAGAAUGCAGCCGAUGUUCUAGCUUACGUACACUGCUGGAGAGCUUCAAACAGUCCUCUUAAAAACAGCUCUCCAGCAGGAUUCUUGUACUCUUCUCAGCUAAGGACUGAGGCAUGGCUUGCGCCUCAAGAUCAUGUUUUAUAUAGUCCCACAGUAAUUCUUUUUCCUUUAUCUCCAUUAAUUUUCCUUUGCCAGUUCUGGUCUGUUCUCUUCUGCUCAGCAGGGGGUGUUUUUGUUCUUUUUCUUUGCUGCUAUUAAUUUUCCUAUAACACAACUAUCUACUAUAUUUGCAUAGCAUCCAUCAUCGAGAUACUAAGAUAGUUUUCAAGUACAUUAAAUUCCACAUUUUAAAACAGUAAUAAAAGGCUUUUGCUAAAUAAAUAUAUAAAGCUGCUCACAGAUCGUGCAACAAGGAAACCAAAUACAGAGCUCAAGUUCCCAGAACUUGGGAGGACAAAGGAGCAGUUUACUAAACAGCCUUUUCCCAACACUCAGAGCUCUGAUAAUCCUUAGAGGAAAUAAUAAAUCUUUCUCUUUUUUGCUCUUCCCUGCGUUUCUUUUGUUGUUUCUGAUUUUAAAGAAAUGACAAGUGUAGGUACUACUUACAAGGCAGAUUCCUUGAUGUUUCUGGUAGUCCAACCAAGGGACAAGAUUGUGUGAAUAGGAAAGGGAGGUGAACAAUUCAUCCUGUAAAGGAAUUAAAAACAAAAGCAGAAAUCCUUUGUAAGAAAAAGAGUGGCUGGGAUUAUAGCUGCAUGCUUUCACUAAUGACUUUGCAAACAUUUAGUCAGAGAGAACCUGGAAAUCAAGUUGCACUUUAUUUAAUAUUCAGAUAAGGACCAUUCACCUGCUGUUAAGCUACAACAUCUACAAUCAUUCUUUGAAUACUGAUAAUUAUAUGAAGCAGACUCCCCUAGAGGCUGGUAGUCUAGUCUGGAUUCACCUGGAAUACAAAGAUGAAUAAUAUUGCAUAUUACAUGCUCCCAAGUAGUUGCAAUUUAUAGAAAUGUCCAUUUAUGCUCUUGAGAAAAAAAAAAAAGAAAGCAUAUUUCCCUUGGGUUAUGUUAUAUGGUGAUAAAAAUCUAUGUGUGGGACUGCUUGGAUUGUAACUCCUAGUAUGCCUGUUGUUGAUUAAUUAAUAAACAAAUAAAACAUCAUAUUUAGCCAGCUAUCUCACUACAAGACUAUAAAAUAGAAAAUGUUAAAAAAAAAAAAGUGUACCUUGCUAUACAGAAAGAUUAAGCAGAGACAUGUGAAAUGAGUUUCAGAAGUGGCACGCAAAUGGCUCAGAGUAGAUGUGUGUAUACGUUUUUAAAAGAUGAGGAGUGUUAUGAACGUGCUCUGUUAGCUUCCUCCUUCCCUCCUCUUUCUCCCAUCAGGUGCCUUGUCCUUGCUCUCCCCUCUCAUUUGCUGAUGGCUGAUAACACCUUAUCUCCACCAGGGAAGCAACUGGGAAGUUUGCUCCUUCCUCACUAGGCUGAGGGUAUAAUUAGAACAACGCACCUGCUCAGUCCUCCAGUGACUCAGUUAGUCUACAUCCAUGUCAAAAUCCAUGCUGUGAGGGUAAUUUGAUCAUCUCACUUACCUUUUCAUAUACUUUAUGUGAAUAAGCCACCAGAACAAGCCUUUGUUGCUUUAGUUCAGUUUAAUCUCACAAAUUUGUGUCAAUUCUUUGUUCCUAGAAGAAUUUUAUCAUUUGAUCUCAUGCUUACACUUUAGUAGACUUUAGUACAUAUUUUAUUUCCCUCUCUAGAAUAUAAAAUUCCAUCUUGUGUCAAAAUAUUCUUAUUAGUAUCUAUUUAUAUUUCAGAGAUACUUACAAUCUUCAGCUGCUGAGAGCAGGGUCUUGUUGUACAAGAUGAUACAAAGGCACACAAUAAAGGAUUGCUGGUCCCAGGAGCCUGGCAAGCUAAGCAAGGGGAGAGAGGAAAUAUCACCACUGUUUUACAUAUGGGAAACCAGAGCUCUGAGAAUCUGUGCAACUCAUUGCAGUGUCACACAGCAAUAUUGGCAAGGGAGUUCUGUCAAAGUCCAGAAUCAGUGCAUACUAAAGGUGGAUAUAAACCCUGUUUUCUUGGCAAGCAUCAAUAUAAGCUCAAAUAAAUUACAGGCAGGUACACUGGUAUCAUUUGCACACUGAGUAUGCCAAGGCUCCCUUGGUCUCCUCUGCAGCUGUUUCUUCCCCAGCUCCAUUCUUCAGAGCAGCAGAUACUGCUUUUUGAUGCUGUCCUCUUAGGCUCAUAGAAGUUAGUCUACCACUGCUUCCUCUAGCACUUAACAAAAAUUUACCUCUGGCCCUGAGAUGCCACAGUGGUAUCAAAUCUCUCUGACUGCAGCAGCUUCCAGGCACAGCAGAGAGACACCAAAGGUCCUUUAAUUUCUCCUUCCAAGCACCCAAGGAGUAAUGCAAUUGUUUUGUCCUUGAACGUAGCCUGGAAUCUCCUGCAUUAGAAUACUUUUCCUCAUUUAAUCUGCUCUUCCCAGCAGUCCCUGUAACCCUGGGGAAGCAGUAGCAAGCAGGGGGUAUUCACUCAAGACCAAGCAACGGAGAGGCACGUUGAUAUUCCCUGAAGACAAAAUAAACCAAGGGGAAAGUUCACUGUCUUCCUUUUGAAGAUGACUGAAGGUAGGAGGGGAGAUUGCCAGGACUGAAGGUGGAUGGCAGCUGGCACAGAGUUGCUUGCAGCCCCCAAACCUUCAAGGCCAUGGCAAACAUUUCCAACACAGCCUGCUGAAUUCUGUUUGCAAAACAGUUGAGCUAAACUCUUUACCAAUGCUGACUGCACUGCUCUAAUGCUGCCUUCUGACUUAAAACCAAUUCAGGCUAAUUGUUAAGGAUCAGAUAACAGGAAAAUAUUUCUAUUUGACAGUCUACUAUUUUUCAAUUGUUCCUCUGUUACAUAUCUAAGUAAACAUUUGUUCCACUUAUCAUUUCUGAGCAAAAGACAUGAAUCAUUUGACUAGUAAAACCACAACGACAGCUGUUGCUUAUUAGAAACAGUCAUCUUGUUCAAGGGCCUGCUAUGAAGGGGUUCUUCAGGAAACUGUUUCUGCUUUUAGUGCUUUACAGUGUAAUGAAAGCAGAGUUGCAGAAAUUAGGGCAUUUUUAUUUCACUUGUGAUUGGCAAAACACACAGGCACACAAAAACAGAGCAGUUGUUACAGCUGAGCUAGAAGCCUGCAAGAAAAUGGAAAAUACUCAUUGAAGAGUACUGCUAAUGAUAUAAUAAUUAUCUUCUUUGCCUUUAUAUGGCUUUCUACAGUAUAGGUCAAACAAAGUGGGUUCUAGGGGUUCCUUUGUGAUUAGGUUAUAUCAUUUUGGAUUUGGGAUUGGAUAAAUUCGGUAUACUAGUUACAAAUCCUCUACCAGAUAUAUAUUUUUGCCCAGAUCUUAGGAACAAAUUAAUACUGGAUUUGUAAAUACCCCUAGAAGGCAGUCACCAGUGAUGACAACAAUACUACUUUCAGAUAAAGCUUCUCCAGCCAAUGGUAGAAAAAAAAAAAAAAGAGUUUUAAAAAGUAAGAGCAGCAUAAGAGAAUGCUAUGAAAUUGUUUUUAAAUGAAUGGAAGAAAAUUAGGAAAGUAAAGCUAUGCCAAAAGGAAUUUGUAAAAUAAGUGAAACUGAGGCAGGUGAGAUGCAAAGAUUUUUCUCCUUCUAGGAUGUUGCUACAAAUGCCUUGUAGAGCAUAAAGGCAGAAAUGUGUUUGUUCCUGUGACUGCAUGAAAAAAAAAAAAAGUAUUAAACAGAUGCCCUAACACUUAGGCAUUUUUUCAGACAAACCACUAGACUGACAAACCCAGUAUGAUGCCUUUAUCAUCAGGUUUGAAGGGAGAAGCCAAGGACAAAAAGGAGCAUAGAGGCUGCACUGAUCCCAGCAGAAGAGAGGGGUGGGACAUUCAAAGCAAUUGAGAAAUACUACCAAGCAGUGUGCUCUGCUGGUAAAUAGGAGCAUUCGUGGUUUUGUGAUUUUGUUGUUUAAAUGUGUUCCAAAACACUAAAUUCACUUGUAAAUAUUAAAGAAGAGUGGGGAAAAAAAAA
Meleagris gallopavo (turkey) is the source of this 12277-nucleotide non-coding RNA. NCBI's taxonomy places the organism in Eukaryota, Metazoa, Chordata, Aves, Galliformes, Phasianidae. The record is from RefSeq and is a predicted model, not a curated record.